AAUCUUAUUCAGACACAGACUUUGGCCAGGUCCCUGUAGAAGUCAUAGGAGAGUUGGGGUUUCAAGACAAAACAAUAAGAACAACAACAAAAAUAAUAAAACCAACAAUCUUCAGUCCUUUUUGCUUAGUGGGGGUGGAAAGGCCACUGUAGAGAACUUCUUUAAUCCAAGGACACCCACACCAAUAAAAGCAGACGGCAAGGGAACCAGGACAAGCAUGGCUGUGAAGGGACUAGAAACAGAUCUGGCAGGUGGAUAUGCAAUCAUUCCUAUGUGAUGAAGCUCCAGUAAAAUCUCUGGACACCAGCACAGGAUGGGAUGUCCUUUUGCAGAGGAAGCCCAGGUUGGACUUGAACUUCUGGGCUCAAGUUGCCCAUGCUGGACUUGAACUCCUGGGCUCAAGUGGUCCUCUGGCCUCAGCCUCCCAUGUAGCUGAGUCUACUGAUGUAUACCAUCACACCUGGCUUUUUCUUUUCAUUGGAAAAUUUAGUCCAUUUACAUUUAAAGUAAUUGUAAUAGUACCCCUUCUAUUACGAGGGAGGAAAAUAAAACUCAGAUUUCAGGAAUCAAUCAAGGUCAUGUAGCAACCUGGUGGUCAGCCAGAGCUAGAAAUUAUCAAAUAUGAUGAUCCAGCCGGUGUGGUGUAUUCUGAUAUGAGGAGAAUUUCUCUUUUGGUCUUGGACAUAUUCCUUAGACUGACAUGUCACUGGGCCAAUAUUUGAGUGAAUCUCCUGUUUCUGGAAUUAUCAAGAAGACUACAGAAAAUUAUAGGAGUGACUCCGAAAUGCUAUGGAAGAGAUUCCUGCAUUGUCAUGCAUAAAGGCAGAUAUGAGACCUGAAACUGGGGCAGCCAUUGCGAGACCCUGAUGACAGCCAGCCCAAUGGCAAUGCAGACACACACAGCAUGGUGGCAUGAGAUCAUGUCCUAAGAAAUGAGAGAAUUUGAUGUCAUCGUGUGCUGCAGUCAGCCAGCCUUGGAACUCACCAUACCUCUGGACUGCUUGAUAGGGUUCCAGUUCACCUUCCAAUCACCAUUAGACGAAGUUACUCAUUUUUCCAAAAGCAGAGAACAAGAUUGCAGAAGACAACUUGACGUUCCAUUUUAGGAACCAAUAACCCUCAUAUUUGGAAAUUUCAUUACUACACUUUCAGAGGGGAGAAGGCUUUAGGAGGGGGUCUGUGUCGUGCCAGCAAAGACUGCCCCUGUGCCAUGACAGCUCCAUCAGGAAGCCUCCUCUCUUCUCAUCUGCUGCUCCCAAUCUUUCUCCUGAGCACCAGAAAUUACCUUGAGAAGAAGCCUGAAAAGGUGCAUGGUGUCCAGAAGCAUCUCCUCCAGCCAUGUGAAGAAGGACAUAUUUGCUUCCCUUGCUGCCAUGAUUGAACUGGAAAUGAAAUCCUUCGAAGAAAAAACAGAGGGUUGGGAAAUGGUAAAAGACCUUUUUGAUCUCAUCCAUCUUGAGGGAUGCGGCCUAAAGCACAUACAGUCCUCCAAAGAAAAAGUAAUGCCGUGUUACAAAACAGGUUUCCUAUUUUGAUGCACCUGGACAUACCGAGGACUAAACUGUCCUUAGAAGGGAUGUGCACAUUCACAUCAAGACACAAGACAACACCAUCAGACUUCUGGAAAUUAUUUAAAACUUAAGUUUUGGUUAUGGAUUACUGUUGGAGCCACAUCUCUGAAGGACAAUAAUAAAUGGAUUCCAGACACAUGGACAGACCCAGAAGACUCCAAAGCAGGGGCAAUAUUGCCUGUUUCUAGCAAACCCAUAAAAAUGAAACAAUUGGGCACCAAUUGUUUUAGAAAAGCCCACUCUCUUCAAAUGUGAGAUGAAAAAUGAGAAGAAAAAGGUGUUAAGAAGGACCUAAUUAAGAAUUUUUAUGUUACGUAUUUGAACAACUUGACUCUGAUGCAACAUCAUGAUGUAGGGAAUGGUUCAGAAGUCAUACUCGUGAAGUAGAAAGAAAAGAAAAACAAACAGAAAGUUGCACCAGAAUUAGUGUGGCACUGGUUUAUUUCCUACCUGAUUGUAAAGGAAAAAUUGAGAUAUGCUAAUUUAUCAUGCAGCCGCAUAACUUCAUAAUGCAAAAUUUAUGAGAAGAGAUGAGAGGAAAUUGGAGAGGAACAUUAUGGGAGCAAUAAAUACUUAUAUAUACUUAUAUAUAAUACUUAUAUAUAAUUGCAAAUAUUAUAAUGCUGUUGCAUAUUAGUUGAGACCAUUUAGGUGAUUAUUUAGGCUAAAAGUAUAUAUAUAUAUAUAUAUAUAUAUAUAUAUUUAAUUAAAAUACUAUUUAACUGAGCCUCUUGUAGGGGUUAAGUACCCUUCUAGGUAUUGGGGAUACAUCAAUUUCCCAUAUAAAGAUUCCUGUAGAAAUCUAUAUAUAUAUAUA
RNAcentral lists this long non-coding RNA (2388 nucleotides) under Homo sapiens (human). RNAcentral's name for it is "HSALNT0251319". The record is from RNAcentral. Lineage: Eukaryota; Metazoa; Chordata; Mammalia; Primates; Hominidae.